AGCCUAGCAGCUAGCCCACCCAGUCCAGAAAAAAAAUAAAUAUUAAUAAACCCAAAUGUCCUACCCCCCCCCCCCAAAAAAAACCCAUUUUUCCCCUUGAGAAUUGGGUGAUUCUAAAAAAAACUUUGGGACCUUUAAAAAAAAUCCCCCGCGGGGAAACCCGAAAAAAGAAAAGAAAAUACCCCCAGUAAAGCCCCAAAAA
Molecule: ribosomal RNA, 202 nt
Filed under: Oxycirrhites typus (longnose hawkfish)
Lineage: Eukaryota; Metazoa; Chordata; Actinopteri; Centrarchiformes; Cirrhitidae
Description: partial 16S ribosomal RNA
Source: RNAcentral